UACGUAGGGGGCAAGCGUUGUCCGGAAUCAUUGGGCGUAAAGAGCUCGUAGGCGGUUUGUCGCGUCUGCUGUGAAAACUCGAGGCUCAACCUCGGGCUUGCAGUGGGUACGGGCAGACUAGAGUGCGGUAGGGGUGACUGGAAUUCCUGGUGUAGCGGUGGAAUGCGCAGAUAUCAGGAGGAACACCGAUGGCGAAGGCAGGUCACUGGGCCGCAACUGACGCUGAGGAGCGAAAGCAUGGGGAGCGAACAGG
RNAcentral lists this ribosomal RNA (253 nucleotides) under uncultured bacterium. Its description in RNAcentral is "partial 16S ribosomal RNA". It matches the Rfam family "Bacterial small subunit ribosomal RNA", at positions 524 to 776 of the family's 1533-position model. The record is from RNAcentral.